Molecule: unclassified non-coding RNA, 375 nt
Filed under: uncultured Actinomycetes bacterium
Lineage: Bacteria; Bacillati; Actinomycetota; Actinomycetes
Description: uncultured actinobacterium contains 16S-23S intergenic spacer region
Source: RNAcentral
UCCGGUUUGGCACCGGCAGUCUCCCUAGAGUUCCCGGCAUGACCCGCUGGCAACUAAGGACAGGGGUUGCGCUCGUUGCGCCACUUAAGGCAACACCUCACGGCACGAGCUGACGACAGCCAUGCACCACCUGUGCAGGCUCCGAAGAGCGCCCGCUUUCACGGGUUUCACCCUGCAUGUCAAGCCCAGGUAAGGUUCUUCGCGUUGCAUCGAAUUAAGCCGCAUGCUCCGCCACUUGUGCGGGCCCCCGUCAAUUCCUUUGAGUUUCAACCUUGCGGUCGUACUCCCCAGGCGGGGCACUUAACGCGUAAGCUGCGACACGGAAGGGGCCGAUCCCCCCAGCACCUAGCACCCAUCGUUUACAGCGUGGACUAC